CCUACGGGAGGCAGCAGUGGGGAAUAUUGCGCAAUGGGCGAAAGCCUGACGCCGCGACGCCGCGUGAGGGAUGAAGGUCUUCGGAUCGUAAACCUCUGUCAGCAGGGAAGAACGGUCACUUUGCUAAUCAGCAGUGCAUUGACGGUACCUGCAAAGGAAGCACCGGCUAACUCCGUGCCAGCAGCCGCGGUAAUACGGAGGGUGCGAGCGUUAAUCGGAAUUACUGGGCGUAAAGCGCUCGUAGGCGGUAUGUCAAAUCAAGGGUGAAAUCCCCGCGCUCAACGUGGGAACUGCCUUUGAAACUGGCAAACUGGAGUGUGUGAGAGGAUAGUGGAAUUCCAGGUGUAGGAGUGAAAUCCGUAGAUAUCUGGAGGAACAUCAGUGGCGAAGGCGACUAUCUGGCACAUAACUGACGCUGAGGAGCGAAAGCGUGGGUAGCAAACAGGAUUAGAUACCCCUGUAGUC
This 465-nucleotide ribosomal RNA is filed under the name uncultured bacterium. RNAcentral describes it as "partial 16S ribosomal RNA". It matches the Rfam family "Bacterial small subunit ribosomal RNA", at positions 338 to 795 of the family's 1533-position model. The record is from RNAcentral.